UACAGAGGUCCCAAGCGUUGUUCGGAUUCACUGGGCGUAAAGGGUGCGUAGGCGGUCGGGUAAGUCUGAUGUGAAAUCUCACAGCUUAACUGUGAAACUGCAUUGGAUACUAUCCGGCUUGAGGAAUGGAGGGGAGACUGGAAUACUUGGUGUAGCAGUGAAAUGCGUAGAUAUCAAGUGGAACACCAGUGGCGAAGGCGAGUCUCUGGACAUUUCCUGACCCUGAGGCACGAAAGCCAGGGGAGCAAACGGG
Molecule: ribosomal RNA, 253 nt
Filed under: uncultured bacterium
Lineage: Bacteria
Description: partial 16S ribosomal RNA
Rfam family: Bacterial small subunit ribosomal RNA
Source: RNAcentral